CCUACGGGAGGCAGCAGUGGGGAAUAUUGGGCAAUGGGCGCAAGCCUGACCCAGCCACGCCGCGUGAAGGAAGAAGGCUUUCGGGUUGUAAACUUCUUUUCUCAGGGACGAAGCAAGUGACGGUACCUGAGGAAUAAGCCACGGCUAACUACGUGCCAGCAGCCGCGGUAAUACGUCGGGGGCAAGCGUUAUCCGGAUUUACUGGGUGUAAAGGGCGUGUAGGCGGGAAAGCAAGUCAGAUGUGAAAACCACGGGCUCAACCGGUGGCCUGCAUUUGAAACUGUUUGUCUUGAGUACUGGGGAGGCAGACGGAAUUCCUAGUGUAGCGGUGAAAUGCGUAGAUAUUAGGAGGAACACCAGUGGCGAAGGCGGUCUGCUGGACAGCAACUGACGCUGAGGCGCGAAAGCGUGGGGAGCAAACAGGAUUAGAUACCCGAGUAGUC
This 443-nucleotide ribosomal RNA is filed under the name uncultured bacterium. RNAcentral's name for it is "partial 16S ribosomal RNA". It matches the Rfam family "Bacterial small subunit ribosomal RNA", at positions 338 to 795 of the family's 1533-position model. The record is from RNAcentral.